AUGGCGGGAGCGGCCUGUUUCAGUCUUGGAUUACUAAUGCGUGCUGAGUUGCUGCUGCCUUUUGAUCAGAUUGUAAGUGUAAACUCAAACAGGUGGCGGAAGCCUGUGUUGCUGCCUUUGGGACAAGUGGAAGCAUCACUGCCUUUUCAUGUACAACCACGAGUAUGUUGUGGCUGCCGGAGCAGCUCUCCCCUGUGCCAGACAUUUGCUUCGCCGGUGCCGACAGACAGAUGGAGACGAUGGAUGAAGGAGCAACCGGUGGCUGGCAGCCAAGGCAAAGGCAAGGCAAGGAGGACCUUCCAGCUGCAUCCUCGGAGGAAAUACUGA
Molecule: ribosomal RNA, 327 nt
Filed under: Triticum aestivum (bread wheat)
Lineage: Eukaryota; Viridiplantae; Streptophyta; Magnoliopsida; Poales; Poaceae
Description: partial small subunit ribosomal RNA
Source: RNAcentral